AUGCAGGGCCAGCAGGUGUACAGCCGCCUAGGGAGCUUCGGCGGGGCGGCGGGCACGCCGUCCCCGCCCCCGCCCCCGUCCCCCCUGCGCGGCGGCGCGGGGAGGCGGACACCGGGGAAGGCGGGCGCGACGAGGGGGUCCCAGGAGGCGGCGGCGGCGGGGGCCACCGGGUGGGGCGCCGCGGCCAGGCGGGCGGCGCGGGCGCUGCUCGCCGCGCUGCUGCGGAGGCAGGCCGUCUUCCUCUUCGCGCCGCUGCUCUACGUCGCCGCCAUGCUGCUCUACAUGGGCUCGCUCCCGCUCGACGUCGUGCCGCGGAUCAUCACGCGCUCCGGGCCAGGCUCCGUCUACCGCAGCCCCCAGCUGUACGCGCGCCUCCGCCCAGACAUGGACGCCGACAACUCCACCGACGCGUUAGCAACUGUAUGGAGGCAAACUUACAAAGGUGGUGUCUGGCGACCUUGCAUACACAAUCUGACAAACAGUUUGCCUGAAUCAAAUGGCUACAUAUAUGUGGAGGCAAAUGGUGGUUUGAAUCAACAAAGGACAUCGAUAUGCAAUGCGGUUGCUAUUGCUGGUUUUCUAAAUGCUACUCUUAUUAUUCCGAAUUUCCAUUUCCACAGCAUUUGGAAGGAUCCAAGCAAAUUCAGGGAUAUUUAUGAUGAAGAACACUUUGUAAAACGUCUACAGAAUGAUGUUCGAGUAGUUAACAAAGUGCCUGAUUUUGUAAUGGAGCGUUUUGGUCACAAUCUAAGCAAUGUAUUCAAUUUCAAGAUAAAGGCUUGGUCUUCUAGUAAAUACUACGAAGAUGUUGUUCUUCCGAAGUUAGUUGAAGAAAGAUUCAUCCGAAUUUCUCCGUUUGCAAACCGACUCUCAUUUGAUGCCCCACCUGUUGUUCAACGGUUGAGAUGCUUGGUGAAUUUUGAAGCUUUAAAAUUUUCAAACCCAAUUGCUACUCUAUCGGAGACUUUAAUUUCUCGAAUGAGAGAAAAAAGUGCUGAAAGCAAUGGGAAAUAUAUCGCAGUGCAUCUUCGUUUUGAGGAGGAUAUGGUUGCCUUCUCAUGUUGUGUAUAUGAUGGUGGUGACGGGGAGAAGAAGGAAAUGGAUGUGGCCAGAGAAAUAGGUUGGCGAGGGAAGUUUACAAAGAGAGGGAAGGUAAUAAGGCCAGGAGUUAUAAGAAUGAACGGGAAAUGUCCACUUACACCUUUGGAGGUUGGAUUAAUGCUUCGUGGGAUGGGUUUCAACAAUAAGACUGCAAUUUAUUUGGCCUCUGGAAAGAUUUACAGAUCAGAGAAGACCAUGGCUCCUCUUCUUGAAAUGUUUCCUCUUCUACAGACAAAAGAAACACUAGCAUCAGAUGAGGAACUUGCUCCAUUUAAGAAUUUCUCCUCAAGGAUGGCUGCAAUAGACUAUAGUGUUUGCACCUAUAGUGAAGUUUUCGUGACCACACAAGGCGGAAAUUUCCCUCAUUUUCUGAUGGGACACAGAAGAUACUUGUAUGGUGGACAUUCAAAGACAAUUAAGCCAGACAAAAGAAGGCUGGCCAUACUCUUUGAUAAUCCACGUAUCGGUCAUGCCUUGUCAUUUUUAUGCAGAUGGAAGUCAUUGAAACGUCACUUACUCAACAUGAGAGCACACAGUGAUGCCAAAGGGGUCGAGAUGAAAAGACCAAAUGAAUCGAUAUACACAUUUCCAUGUCCUGACUGCAUGUGCCGCUUGAACAAAACAACGCAUUCGAAACCCAUACACACUAGAUAG
RNAcentral lists this ribosomal RNA (1755 nucleotides) under Triticum aestivum (bread wheat). RNAcentral describes it as "partial small subunit ribosomal RNA". Lineage: Eukaryota; Viridiplantae; Streptophyta; Magnoliopsida; Poales; Poaceae. The record is from RNAcentral.